GCAUGAGUGGCGGAAUCGGAAUACGCGCCGGGCUAAGGAUCUGGUGCCUGUCACAGGGCGUGUGGGUUCAAGUCCCACCUCAUGCACCA
RNAcentral lists this transfer RNA (89 nucleotides) under Bacillota bacterium. RNAcentral's name for it is "tRNA-Leu". It matches the Rfam family "tRNA". Rfam says of the family: Transfer RNA (tRNA) molecules are approximately 80 nucleotides in length. Their secondary structure includes four short double-helical elements and three loops (D, anti-codon, and T loops). The record is from RNAcentral. Lineage: Bacteria; Bacillati; Bacillota.